UACGGAGGGGGCUAGCGUUAUCCGGAAUGACUGGGCGUAAAGCGCCCGUAGGCGGACUGCACAGUCAGCCGUGAAAGUCCUGGGCUUAACCUCGGGACUGCGUCUGAGACGUGUGAUCUAGAGUGAGGAAGAGGGUGGUGGAAUUUCCAGUGUAGAGGUGAAAUUCGUAGAUAUCGGAAAGAACACCGGUGGCGAAGGCGGCGACCUGGUACGUGACUGACGCUCAGGGGCGAAAGCGAGGGGAGCAAACAGG
Molecule: ribosomal RNA, 253 nt
Filed under: uncultured bacterium
Lineage: Bacteria
Description: partial 16S ribosomal RNA
Rfam family: Bacterial small subunit ribosomal RNA
Source: RNAcentral